This is a non-coding RNA of Paramuricea clavata, 353 nucleotides long. The record is from the annotation of a GenBank genome assembly. NCBI's taxonomy places the organism in Eukaryota, Metazoa, Cnidaria, Anthozoa, Malacalcyonacea, Plexauridae.
UAUUUUAACGGGACUAGCUAACAGUCGUGGGUCGUGGGUCGUGGGUAGAAUGUCGUGGGUCGUGGGUAAAAAGUCGUGGGUCGUGGGUAAAAAGUCGUGGGUCGUGGGUAAAAAGUCGUGGGUCGUGGGUAAAAAGUCGUAAGUCGUGGGUAAAAAGGCGUGGGUCGUGGGUAAAAAGGCGUGGGUCGUGGGUAAAAAGGCGCGGGUCGUGGGUAAAAAGGCGUGGGUCGUGGGUAAAAAGGCGUGGGUCGUGGGUAAAAAGGCGUGGGUCGUGGGUAAAAAGGCGUGGGUCGUGGGUAAAAAGGCGUGGGUCGUGGGUAAAAAGGCGUGGGUCGUGGGUAAAAAGGCGUGGG